UACGAAGGGGGCUAGCGUUGCUCGGAAUCACUGGGCGUAAAGCGCACGUAGGCGGCUUGUUAAGUCAGGGGUGAAAUCCUGGAGCUCAACUCCAGAACUGCCUUUGAUACUGGCGAGCUUGAGUUCGGGAGAGGUGAGUGGAACUGCGAGUGUAGAGGUGAAAUUCGUAGAUAUUCGCAAGAACACCGGUGGCGAAGGCGGCCCACUGGUCCGGUACUGACGCUGAGGUGCGAAAGCGUGGGGAGCAAACAGG
Molecule: ribosomal RNA, 253 nt
Filed under: uncultured bacterium
Lineage: Bacteria
Description: partial 16S ribosomal RNA
Rfam family: Bacterial small subunit ribosomal RNA
Source: RNAcentral